RNAcentral lists this long non-coding RNA (940 nucleotides) under Mus musculus (house mouse). Its description in RNAcentral is "long non-coding RNA chrX:109509236-109510176". The record is from RNAcentral. Lineage: Eukaryota; Metazoa; Chordata; Mammalia; Rodentia; Muridae.
UAAGGACAAGUAUUCAGUUGGAGUUGUGGAGUCCUGAUAUUUUUAAGGUUUGUUUUGUAUGGUUUCUUGAGUCAGUACAGGAAAAGUGUGUGAUAUCUACCAAGGCUGACAUCACUUUUGGAGUUUCCCUUCUUUGUUUGACAGAGGUCUCUGUUGGUCAUAAUUAGCUUUGUAGGUUUUCUAACUCUCACAUAGUUUGUAGAUGGGUGGUUUAUAUGUUUGCUGGGAAGAUCUUCCCAUUGCGAAUGUGGAAAGCAUUCACUUCACUGAGAUCUGCUGAGGUAGAGGAUCUUUCUUAUCAUUUUCAAGAUCUUUGAAAUACUAAUUAUUUGCUGGAAGUUUAGAGUUCUUAGGUUCUGUUGCAGUGAAUGACAGGGAUAUAGGUGGGUGAUUUCAGGGUUGAGUCCACUAAGUAACCUCAAGUUCAGAGACUCAUAUUUUUCUGUUGAUGAGAUCUACUCCUGGAUGCUGAAGUUGUUCUAUGAACUUUUCUUGUGCACCCAAUUUAUGACUCAAGCCCCUCCUUCCCCCCACCCCCAAUCUACAUAUUGAAGCUGGUCAGUGUCUGGACUUACCACCCAUCACAACCUAGGGCUAACUGUAACACUGGAGAUUAGGCAAGUUAAACUCAGGCUCUAUGACUUGUGGUUAAUCCAUUCCCAAUUACAGUUUUAAAUAAUAGGUAUUGUCUCAGGAUGUCAGCCAGAGUUGCUGUCUGAGUUGUACAGAAUAGAAAAUUGAAGUUCCCUUUCUAUGGUUAACCUGUCUACCUGUGGAACUAUUGUAUUGCUGAAAUCCUCAAUAUUUGCAUUUGGGAGAACCACAGCUUGUCCUAAGGGUAGUAGGAUUGCCAUUGUGUUUUUACCUGGAUAACUUGGCUUUAUUUUUUGAAUGAGACUUCUCUUUUGUCCCUUCACACAGACAGUAACAAUCUCUAUGG